This 491-nucleotide ribosomal RNA is filed under the name uncultured bacterium. Its description in RNAcentral is "bacterial SSU rRNA". It matches the Rfam family "Bacterial small subunit ribosomal RNA", at positions 588 to 1084 of the family's 1533-position model. The record is from RNAcentral.
UCAGUUGUGAAAGUUUGCGGCUCAACCGUAAAAUUGCAGUUGAUACUGGGUGUCUUGAGUACAGUAGAGGCAGGCGGAAUUCGUGGUGUAGCGGUGAAAUGCUUAGAUAUCACGAAGAACUCCGAUUGCGAAGGCAGCUUGCUGGACUGUAACUGACGCUGAUGCUCGAAAGUGUGGGUAUCAAACAGGAUUAGAUACCCUGGUAGUCCACACAGUAAACGAUGAAUACCCGCUGUUUGCGAUAUACAGUAAGCGGCCAAGCGAAAGCGUUAAGUAUUCCACCUGGGGAGUACGCCGGCAACGGUGAAACUCAAAGGAAUUGACGGGGGCCCGCACAAGCGGAGGAACAUGUGGUUUAAUUCGAUGAUACGCGAGGAACCUUACCCGGGCUUGAAUUGCAACUGAAUGAUGUGGAGACAUGUCAGCCGCAAGGCAGUUGUGAAGGUGCUGCAUGGUUGUCGUCAGCUCGUGCCGUGAGGUGUCGGCUUAAG